Long non-coding RNA from Ailuropoda melanoleuca (giant panda), 3795 nucleotides. RefSeq lists it as uncharacterized. The transcript is spliced from 3 exons. Lineage: Eukaryota; Metazoa; Chordata; Mammalia; Carnivora; Ursidae. The record is from RefSeq and is a predicted model, not a curated record.
GAAGGGUGGGGCAGAGCUGGAGACGUGCCAGGAGCAGAGACACGGCGACUGCCACUGGGUGGUUUGAGCAUGGGUCAGACCCUGACGCCGGCAGUGCCAGGGGCCCAGCCCACCGGGAAUCCAUUUUCAGAAUUGGCUUAUAGAGGAUUAUAGAGGCUUGGUAAGUCCAAGAUCUGCAGGACAGGCUGGCAGGCUGGAGACCCAGGAACGAGUUGCAAUUCAAGUCCAAUGGAAAUCUGCUGGGAGAAUUCCUUCUUGCUUUGAGGAGGGCUUAGAAGCAAGUCCAUGACCUUUGUUGCAGAGAAUUAGCUACUGCAACCUGCUGGACCCUAGUAGAGACAGAGCACCUGACCGUGGGACAUCCGGUAACGACGACACUGAGCUACACGUCACGAGCUGAUAUUUCUGGUCCUCCAAGGCAGCUGGGCGCCGAAGCACCUCAUCACGUAUGAAAAUAGCGCAUUGGUGUUUGGGCCCAUCCAGGUCCAGAGGACUGAGUUCUAGCACUCUGAGGCCCAGGCUUGGAUGUCACCAGGUCUGCUGUUGAUACCUCUCCCUCUCCUCACCCUUCAGGCCACAACUCCCAGCCUCCUGCCUCCCUCUUAUAAGGCCCCUGUGAUUACACUGGACCCACCUGGAUAACCCAGGAUAAUCCUCCUAUUUCAAGAUCCUUAACUUUAUCACGUCUGCAAAGUUCCUUUUACCAUGUAAGGUGACCUCUUCACGGGUUCUGGGGGAUCGGGCAGUGGCAGCUUUGGUUGGGGGGAGGCUGUUACUGAGCCUACCACACUCAUUCGUCAGUUUCACUCAUCCACCCAGGGGUUCAGUGACCAGCCAGAGCCGUGCUGGGAGGGUCAGAGCUCCUCACCAGGGAGAAUCAGAGGCUGCUGUGCCCUGCCCCAACCCCAGGCCCUCCAGCUGCAGCUCCACUCUACUCGAUCUUCAGGCUUGGCCACUGCCCUAACCCGGACAUGGGCACACCCACACGGGGCACAGGCCUCAUGCCUCUCUUGGCUGGGGACUGAAAUAAACAUAGUCUGCUUCUGAUCCUGCAGUGCUCCCCGAGCAUCUGUUAUGAGCCUGGCGCUUCAUUCGCUUUUGCCAAUCUGCGGGCUGGGUUUCUUAUGUCCUUUGUGGGCGUGGGAGACCCAGAGAAGCCAAGUGGCUUGCCCAAGUUCACACAGAGUGGAAGUAGCAGAUUGGACAUGAGGUCCGAGGGACUCCGAGGCUGCCUCCUCUGUCUUCAGGAAGCCGUAGAUGGGCCUCAAGGAUGGCAGCCUCUCCUCAUGCCAAGUCAUUUUCCCUGGGCCCCCAAAUCUAGAGUUCUAGCUCAGUUCCCUCUGAGUUCAGCAGGAGUCGGCUGGUGGCCCUUGGGAACAGAAGACAUUAGGUUUCCGGUGCUGGGGGCCCCCCUGCCACCCGGCCCCCAAACUGCUGUCACCUUUUAAUAGAUUUCUCAGGGAAUGAGUAAUUUGUUGCUGGUGCUGGCUUGGCAUUCAGGAGGAAGUCCCGCAGGCCUGGAAGGUCAGCAUGGAGCCACUCAAAGGCGACCGCUGGAGAAGGAGAGUGGGUCCGUGAUGGCUGCUCAGCACAGCCGCGCCGCCAAUUACCGCCCGGCCUGCUUCCUGCCGCAGACGUGCCCAGGGCCAGCGCUUUGAACCCUUGCAGGGAGGCCAGUUUCUAGUAAACAACCCAGGGCAGCGGGCAGAUUGACAGCAGAAAUGCGGGAGGCUGGCCGGCCACUGGUGCUGCUCACUGCUCCUGCUGGCAGCGGGCAGCACUGCAGUCCCCCGGGGGUCCUCCCCAGUCAGGGGCCUCGGGGGGCCAUCAGAGUAUCUGAGCCUCACUGCUGGGUAGACAGGCUCCUGCCAUGUCCAGGGGGAUUUCAAGGCCAUUGUCUCUGGGCCAUGGAAGAUGACUUUUUCUGGGUGGGAAAAUGAGCCUGGUCUGGGACCCCUUCCCUGUCCACCAGCCUGGAAACAGGGGUUUGGAGAAAGAACCCACAGAGAGACAGCAGGGGCCUGCUUCUUUCUCUCUCCCCAGGAAAGCCUCAGAAAUAUUUGGGGGUGCAAAGGAGGGACUGCCAGACUUUCCACCACCAUUUUAUUUGGCACUUAAAAGAAAGGAGGUGCGCUUACCGCAUGAUUCCAUGUAUGUGAAGUUCUAGAAUGUGCGGGUGUUAGAAAGUGAGGGCCUCUCUAAGGGAUUGACUGGAAGUAGCACGAGGGAGAUUUCUGGGGGUGGUGGAAAUGUUCAUAGCCUGGUUGGGGUGCUGGUUACACAUUUAUCAAAAUCCACCCAGCUGCAUCCUUCAAACCUAUUUAUUUUACUGGAUGCACACUGCACUUCCACAAGAAAAAAAGUAGGAUGAAGAAAAAGAAGGGGAUGCAGAGGCCUGGGGAGAACCUAGGGAUAUGUGCACACACGAGCGUGUGCACACGCACCCCCCCACACACAUCCUGCAGGUACACAUUGCUAACAUCAGAGCGCUAUUCCCACCUUAUCCUUGGUGAGGUUGUGAAAGAGCACACAGGAUUUUCUUCAUCUUUGUAUUAUAAUUAAUAUCCUUCCAUGUGCCAGCAGUAAGUCGAUAGGAUGUGAAAUGAGGUGCCCAAGCAGGUUGGCACGCUGUUUCUAAGCAGCCAGCUCAAGGCCACGGGCCCGGUCCCCCUGGGGUAGGGCCACUAAUUAAUGCACCGGCUGUUGGUGCUUCUGAGGCGGGAGCUCCGGGGGCUCACCAGGCCCUGUGGCUGCACUUGCUGUCUGCUGCGCUCCUUCAAGGCCCCCAGGGGUCCAGAGGUGAGUGGCUGUUUCUGUGUCCACGAGGCUGGAGGGACGGAGUGAGUGCUCCACUGACAUGCCAGAAAACAAAGAGGGACUCAGACUGGUGGGGGGCCACUUGGAAGGGGCUCCAGUGGCUGGAUUUGGGACAAUGGAAGAUCAAAAUGAUGAAUAACACGAAUGUUUUAUGACCCAGAGCAUUAAAAAAAGUCCCUGAAUUUGGAAAAAAAAAAAAAGAAAAGAAUGUGAAAAAGCAGGGGAUACAGGAUAAGGGGAAAGGAUUCCUUACAGAAGAGCGUCAUGUAGGGGGCACCUGGGCGGCUCAGUCGGUUGAGCGGCCAGCUCUUGGUUACGGCUCAGGUCAUGAUCUCAGGGUCCUGAGAUGGAGCCCUGAGUGCGGCUCCGUGCUCAGUGGGGAGUCUGCUUCCAAUUCUCUCUCUCUCUGCCCCUCUCCCUGCUCUCUCUCUUUUUCUAAAAUGAAUAAAUACAUCUUAAAAAAAAAAAAAGAAGAGCGUCAACUAGAAAGUGAUGGAAACAGAAAGUGGCAUCUCACAGUGAAUGCCGUAAUAAGUGAUCGGGGCAAAAAUCAUCGCAGUCUCGAAGAAUGACCCACAAAUUAACAUCUUAAUUAUGUAGAGAAAAUCAUCGUUUUACAAAUGGAGAAAUCUGACAGACACCACUUUACCCAAAUGGUUAAACUUAAGACCACUAAUCUCGGGAGAAGCCAGUGUCUCUUGUACCCUCAGAAAGAACACAUCACUUACGAGGAACUCCUGCCAGAAAACCUGGCAAAAUCCUCAGGCAAGUCCACGCUGAAGAACACCCUUCAUACCCACUGACCUGGCCUCUUCGUGAGAGACCGUUCCAGACUGAAGGAGGCCAGAGAGUCAUAAGGACCAAUUCAAGGGGGAUCCCUGAUCGGAUCCAGAUCACAAAAAUCAUAAAGGUGAUAUUGGGGAUGUUUGAGUGUGUGGACUAAAUAUUAAAUAGUUAUAUUGAAACAAGAUUAUUAAA